RNAcentral lists this signal recognition particle RNA (305 nucleotides) under Olea europaea subsp. europaea. Its description in RNAcentral is "Plant signal recognition particle RNA". It matches the Rfam family "Plant signal recognition particle RNA". Lineage: Eukaryota; Viridiplantae; Streptophyta; Magnoliopsida; Lamiales; Oleaceae. The record is from Rfam by way of RNAcentral.
GUCGAGCUGUGUAACGCGAGCUUGUAACCCGAGUGGGGGCGUUAAGGUGUUUGGACAUUGUUCUAGCCCAACUGGCUGGAUUCAGGCUUGCAGAUUACUGGCCUGCCCGUUCCAAGCAAGGAAUUGGGCCGUGUGGUUCAAGCGAAAGCAUGAAUUGCCUGGCUCCUAGAGUGGGGGAGAACGCGUCAGGCUGGUUUCACAGAGCAGCGAUAACCCCCCAUCCCUUGCAGUGGGAGGAUAACGGGCCGGAGCAAUCUGAACCAUCAAAAGUCAGAUGGGCUUGUCCAAAUUGGACAUCCACUUUU